This 1323-nucleotide ribosomal RNA is filed under the name Trichophoromyia ininii. Its description in RNAcentral is "16S ribosomal RNA". The record is from RNAcentral. Lineage: Eukaryota; Metazoa; Arthropoda; Insecta; Diptera; Psychodidae.
UAAAAUAAAUUUAUUAAUUAAUUUUUAAAUAAAUAAUUUUAAUUUAAGUAUUUUUUAAAGAAAAAAUAAAAUUUAUGAUAGUUUAUAGUAUUGAAAAAGAAAGUUGAAAUAAUUGAAAAUUAAAUAAUUAAAAAGAAAUUUUUAUUUGAUGUACCUUUUGUAUCAGGGAUUAUUAAAUAAUUUAUAAUUAUUUUUGUAAAUUUCGAAAUAAGAAGAUUUAAUUUAAUAUAAUUUUUAUUGUAACAAAAUUAUUUUAAAUAUUAAAUUGGAAUUUAAAAGUUAAUCGAUUUUUAUUAUAUCUAAUUUUUUAAGAAAUAAAUUAAAUUUAGUUUAUAAUUUUUAUUUAAUUGUUUGUAUAAUUUUAUAAUAAAUUAUAAAUAAUAUAUUAAGGGAUAAGCUUUGAUAUAAUUUUUAUAAAAUUUUAAAUAUUAAUUUAAUUUAUAUAUUCUUAGAAAUAGAAAUUAUAAAUUAAAAUGUUAUAAUUAAAUGAAUUGUAAAUAAUAUUUAUUAAUUUUUAAUUAUUUUAUUAAAAUAUUUAAUUUAAUAAUAAAAUUAAAUUAAUAAUGAUAAUAUUAGUAUAUAAAUAAAUAUUUAGUGUAUAAAUAUUUUCUAUAAUAGAAUUAAAUAUAAAGAAUUCGGCAAAUUUAGUGUUCACCUGUUUAUUAAAAACAUGUCUUUUAGAAUUUAAUUUAAAGUCUAAUCUGCCCACUGAUAAAAUUUAAAGGGCCGCAGUAUAUUAACUGUGCAAAGGUAGCAUAAUCAUUAGUUUUUUAAUUGAAAGCUAGAAUGAAUGAUUGGAUGAAAUAUUUACUGUUUUAUAAUUAUUAAAGUAAAAUUUUAAUUUUUAAUUAAAAAGUUAAAAUAAUAUAAAAAGACGAGAAGACCCUAUAGAUUUUUAUAUAUUAAGUAAUUUAAUAAAAAUAAGAUAAUUUUUUUUUUUAAGUUAUUAAUAUAUUUUAUUGGGGUAAUAAUAAAAUUUUAAUAAUUUUUAAUUUUUAAAUUCAAUAAUAUUUGUUUUUUUGAUCCAUUAAUAUUGAUUAUAAAGUUAAGUUACCUUAGGGAUAACAGCGUAAUGAUUUUUGAGAGUUCUUAUCAAUAAAAUAGUUUGUGACCUCGAUGUUGAAUUAAAAUUUAUUUUAGGUGUAGGUGUUUAAUAAAUAAAGUCUGUUCGACUUUUAAUUUUUUACAUGAUUUGAGUUUAGACCGGCGUAAGCCAGGUCAGUUUCUAUCUUUUAUUUAUAAAAAUAUUUUAGUACGAAAGGAUUAAAUAUUUAAUUAAUUUAAUUAAAAUUAAAUAGAAUAAUAAUAAUUUAAAUUAUAAUA